AACGAACGCUGGCGGCAUGCCUAACACAUGCAAGUCGAACGAGACCUUCGGGUCUAGUGGCGCAUGGGUUCGUAACGCGUGGGAACCUUCCCUUAGGUUCGGAAUAACUCCCCGAAAGGGGUGCUAAUACCGGAUAAUGUCUUCUGACCAAAGAUUUAUCGCCUUUGGAUGGGCCCGCGUUGGAUUAGCUAUUUGGUAGGGUAAAAGCCUACCAAGGCGACGAUCCAUAGCUGGUUUGAGAGGAUGAUCAGCCACACUGGGACUGAGACACGGCCCAGACUCCUACGGGAGGCAGCAGUGGGGAAUAUUGGAAAAGGGGCGAAAGCGUGAACCAGCAAUGCCGCGUGAGUGAUGAAGGCCUUAGGGUUGUAAAGCUGUUUUAAACGGGAUGAUAAUGACAGUACCGGGAGAAUAAGCCCCGGCUAACUCAGUG
RNAcentral lists this ribosomal RNA (433 nucleotides) under uncultured bacterium. RNAcentral describes it as "partial 16S ribosomal RNA". It matches the Rfam family "Bacterial small subunit ribosomal RNA", at positions 29 to 507 of the family's 1533-position model. The record is from RNAcentral.